RNAcentral lists this unclassified non-coding RNA (1516 nucleotides) under Drosophila ananassae. RNAcentral describes it as "GF13336". The record is from RNAcentral. Lineage: Eukaryota; Metazoa; Arthropoda; Insecta; Diptera; Drosophilidae.
UAAUUGUCCCUUUCAGCUCUCCGCUCAGUUUGUUCUGUGUCAGUCAAAAGCACUUUAGGCUCCGUUUAGAAUGUUUAAAAAAAGUAAGGGAAAAUCGCGUAGUAAGAGAACAAGCCAACAAGAAAACAUGGAUCCAAACAACCACAUGAACCACACCAUGAACGCGAUGAACAUGCAGAUGCGCUCGAUGAAUCGUCUAAUGAACUCCUUCAUGCCGGAUCCGUUCAUGCAGGGAAAUCCCUUCGACGCGGGAUUCCCCCAGAACGCCUUGAUGGAGCGCCCGCAGAUGGGUGCGAUGGCCCCCAUGGGCCUCUUUGGGAUGCCCAUGAUGCCGAACUUCAAUAGGUUGCUAAACGUUGAUAUCGGCGGGAACUCUGGAGCCUCCUUCUGCCAGAGCACCGUGAUGACCAUGUCUUCGGGCCCCGAUGGCCGUCCACAAAUAUAUCAGGCAAGCACCAGCACCAAAACUGGCCCCGGGGGUGUUCGCGAGACCAGGAAAACAGUUCAGGACUCGCGCACGGGCGUCAAGAAGAUGGCCAUCGGACAUCACAUCGGCGAGCGCGCCCACAUCAUUGAGAAGGAGCAGGAUAUGCGUUCCGGCCAACUGGAGGAGCGUCAGGAGUUCAUCAACCUCGACGAGGAAGAGGCUGAGCAGUUCGAUCGCGAGUUCACCUCGCGCGCAACUCGCGGCGGCGGAAUUACUCAAGGACAUCGCGGUGGGAUGCAGGCCAUAAUGCCGGCUCGCCCAGCAAUUGCCAACACGGCAUCCACUGUGACCAUUGAGCCGGUGGAAGACGACGACGAGGACGAUGACUGUGUGAUCCAGGAGCAGCAGCCACCAAUGCCGCGCUCCUCCGGUGGCCGGCACAUGCCCCACUCGCCCUCGGCUGGUCAACACAGCAGCAGCAGCAGCUCCGUCGCAGCAGCAACACCAGCAGCAACCGUCUACGAUAUAACUGGCGGCCACAACAACAACUAUGGCAGCUCGCGUCGCCCGUAUCAGCGGAAUGGCCACGGUCACGGGCACGGGCUUGCCACGCCACGCCGCCCACUGCGAACGCCUCCGUCCUCGCCGCUGGCCACGGUUUCCAGCGGAAGCCACUCUAUUGCCGGCACUCCAAGAGAUUGGCGUCUGUAUAACGCACGAGUCUACCGAAAGUAGAGUUCAGACCGAAACCAAAAGAAAGCAAGAAACUAAACCGUAACUUACGCUAAUCCUGUAAUCAUACGCAACUAAAUCAACGAAGCACUGCGAUAAGCUAAGCGGUCGUCGACGUAACCACAUAUUGCACUCCGCUACUAACCGAAGGCGACGCCACGCUACGCUGCCCCAUCGCCGCGAGAACUACGAUCUUGGGCAACGCAACACAGCAACCAACAUAACAACAUAAAACACCACAUCGCCUCCGAACCAGGGAGCUACGUUGUACAUCCGCAUCCCUAUGCCGCCAGCACCAGGCGGCCGCAGUGCUUGAAGCACCACCACACAGACGUAGACGGCGUGACGGCCCACAAG